UAAUCAUCAGAAAGGUUUCUCUUUUAAGCAGGAGGCAGUAAUUCCUGAAGCAACAAAGCAAGAAAAACACCAUCACCACAACACCACCAGGAUAGAGAGGAGGGAGCAUUCAUCAGCGAGGAUGAUGAAAUUGGAAUACCGGAAAAUCAUGCAGGUGGGCUAUGCAUCCACCACGGGAUGGCAGCAGUCGCUACCCUUUAGCUCAAGGGUGAUGAACCCAUGUCGCUCGAAGCUUCUUGUACAGGGGAGAGAGAGAGAGAGAGAGAGAACCAAAUCUAGCAAAAGGGAAACAAA
Molecule: long non-coding RNA, 294 nt
Organism: Syzygium oleosum
Lineage: Eukaryota; Viridiplantae; Streptophyta; Magnoliopsida; Myrtales; Myrtaceae
Exons: 2
Source: RefSeq, a predicted model, not a curated record